GUUGCUGUUUACGAUGUGUUCAUAUAUCGCUUUGUAGUGCUGUAAUGUGCAAAUUAGCGGACUUUAUAGCGGCUCUCUAUUUUCCGUCGUUGUCUUGCGAGCAGCGCCUGUUGUUCCGGUAAAAAUCGAGUUGAAUGAAUCGCCACAGCCCCAACGUAUAUCGCGCAGUGUUGACCAAGUCAAGCAGGAAUUCUGGCAUGGUAUGUGGCUGCACGAAGGAUUCCGAAAAAGAAAAACAACAACAUGGCUAAUAGGAUGUUGCUGCCCAGGGAGUCCUGGCGAAGAGGUUUACUCAUUCCAGAAGCAAGAAUUGUAUCAUUGUAAGGCGAAUGGAAAUAAACUGACAUCGACUGA
Ornithodoros turicata is the source of this 354-nucleotide long non-coding RNA. RefSeq lists it as uncharacterized. The transcript is spliced from 3 exons. Lineage: Eukaryota; Metazoa; Arthropoda; Arachnida; Ixodida; Argasidae. The record is from RefSeq and is a predicted model, not a curated record.